Long non-coding RNA from Coccinella septempunctata (seven-spotted ladybird), 841 nucleotides. RefSeq lists it as uncharacterized. The transcript is spliced from 6 exons. The record is from RefSeq and is a predicted model, not a curated record. NCBI's taxonomy places the organism in Eukaryota, Metazoa, Arthropoda, Insecta, Coleoptera, Coccinellidae.
AUCAACUUAAACGUUUUAAUAUAUUAUUUUUCGUUUCUAGAAUGGAUUAUUUCAGGAAGGUUUGUCUUUGAUCAAAUAUUCUGUUACAUUUCCAGGAUGGAUUGCAAACAAAAUUAUGAGGAUUCUUGGUAAAUUUAAUGUUCACAUGAGUGUAAUUUUGGAGAAAAACGGUUCAAACGUGAAAAGAUGGAAUUAUGACCUCGAUAAACAUUGGUUUUAGUUAUUUAUAGACUUCGUUAUGGAUAACACAAAGCAACAACUUGAACUCAUCGAGUUGUUUUGAUUGCCAGAAAGGAAGGAAAUAAUUAAUCAGUGGACAAUUCAGACGAAUAACUUGGAACUGUUGGUUUGUGAUGAUUAGGAAGAUGUUGGGAAAGACAAUAGUGAGAGAAAAGAAGUGAUUUCACUUGGACAAAAUUGUCUCGAAGAAAAUUUUCAGUCGCUCCAGAUAACAGAUAGCAAGACGACAAACAAGACUUUCUUACUAGAGAGAAAAUAAAUAAUUCUACAUGAACAAAAUCAACUAUACUUACUCAUAAUGGAAAACAAUAAAUUCCAGAUUAUCGGCAUAGCAAAACUUUCCCAAGAAAAUCAUUGUAGGGUGGCUUGCAACGGAAACAGGGAUGAGGAUUCCUGAAACUUGUUGAGCUGUUUCAAUCGAAGAAGCCUGGGAAGAAAGAAAUCGAGAUGAUGUCAAUCAGAAGAGUAGAAAAUACUUAAUCAAAGGACAAACGGGAGAAAAGAAUUAAUUUCACUUGGACAAAAUCAACUACAGCAAUUUAAGAUGUAAAACGAUAAAUUGCAGCUUAUCGGCAAAGCAAGAUUUUCCUCUGAACGAAGG